GUAGAGUUACAAACUCUAGCAAAUCCUACAAUCCUUGUAUUGGUCAUACCAUUUAUUGGUUAACGCUACACUCUGUGAUUCAAAUAUUACUUUCUCUUUCUCUUUGGCUAAUUAUCAUAUUGGUUAAUGCCACAUUCCCUUGCUCUUCUUUUUGGCUAAUUACCAUUUAUUUGUUAACGUCACACUCUUUACAAACACUCUUUCUAUUCAAACAAUUUCUUCACCUUUUGGCAACCUAAUCAAUUUUUUCUUUCUUUUUUUCCAUCCUUAAUUUCAUGAACUACGGAGCUCUGACUUCCUCAUUGCACUAUGAGGAUACGUAGGCACGAGGGUUCGAAUC
This 340-nucleotide long non-coding RNA is filed under the name Lathyrus oleraceus (garden pea). RNAcentral describes it as "Pisum sativum (pea) long non-coding RNA (PSAT_LNC016819)". Lineage: Eukaryota; Viridiplantae; Streptophyta; Magnoliopsida; Fabales; Fabaceae. The record is from RNAcentral.